UGUUGAGUGUCCUUGAUUCUAAGUUCCCGAAGGAGAGGGGCCACGUCUUAUUAGAAUUUAGUAUCCCUGCGCCUGGCUGCUGGCCCGCCGUUGAUACCCAAUAAAUGUUUGUCAGCUGAACCGACUGAACUGAAAACCCCUCCAACUUGGCAGACUUUGCAAGUAUAAGGCAGCUUCUGAAAUCUCUGUGAGCAAUUUCACCCCCCCUGCUCCUUUCCACUACAUUUCUUGGAGUUCCAGUCUACACAGAAGCUGUUCAGGAUUAAUUUCCAGCCACUACGAAAGCCAUGAACUCUGGGCUCUGUCUCCUGAAUCCAGUAUGACUGCUACCUUCCACUUAGGCUGUAUUCUCAGAAUUGGUAAGUAUUGGAAAUGUCCCUUAGGAGAAAAGCUGGAU
Molecule: long non-coding RNA, 397 nt
Organism: Balaenoptera acutorostrata (minke whale)
Lineage: Eukaryota; Metazoa; Chordata; Mammalia; Artiodactyla; Balaenopteridae
Exons: 3
Source: RefSeq, a predicted model, not a curated record